GCCGGGGUGGUGAAAUUGGUAAACACAACGGACUUAAAAUCCGUCGCCCUUUAAAGGCUUGCCGGUUCGAUUCCGGUCCCCGGCACCA
Molecule: transfer RNA, 88 nt
Filed under: Alcaligenaceae bacterium
Lineage: Bacteria; Pseudomonadati; Pseudomonadota; Betaproteobacteria; Burkholderiales; Alcaligenaceae
Description: tRNA-Leu
Rfam family: tRNA
About the family: Transfer RNA (tRNA) molecules are approximately 80 nucleotides in length. Their secondary structure includes four short double-helical elements and three loops (D, anti-codon, and T loops).
Source: RNAcentral